RNAcentral lists this ribosomal RNA (527 nucleotides) under Metatrichia bulbosa. Its description in RNAcentral is "partial 16S ribosomal RNA". It matches the Rfam family "Bacterial large subunit ribosomal RNA", at positions 1808 to 2606 of the family's 2925-position model. Lineage: Eukaryota; Metazoa; Arthropoda; Insecta; Diptera; Scenopinidae. The record is from RNAcentral.
CAAAAACAUGUCCUAUAGAUUUUAAUUUUAGGUCUAGCCUGCCCACUGAUAGUAUAUUAAAUGGCCGCAGUAUUUUAACUGUGCAAAGGUAGCAUAAUCAUUAGUCUUUUAAUUGAAGGCUGGAAUGAAUGGUUGGACGAAGCAUUAUCUGUCUCAUACUAGAUUAUAGAAUUUUAUUUUUUAGUUAAAAAGCUAAAAUUUUGUUGAAAGACGAGAAGACCCUAUAGAUCUUUAUAAAUAUUUUUUUAUUAAUAAUUAGAUGUUUAUUUUAUUAAAAAAUUUAUUUAUUUUAUUGGGGUGAUAUUAAAAUUUAAUAAACUUUUAAUUAUAAAUUUACAUUUAUGUAUGGUUAAAUGAUCCACUUUUAGUGAUUAUAAGAUUAAGUUACCUUAGGGAUAACAGCGUAAUCCUUUUGGAGAGUUCUUAUCGAUAAAAGGGGUUGCGACCUCGAUGUUGGACUAAAAUUAAUAUUGGGUGCAGAAGUUCAAUAAUUAAGUCUGUUCGACUUUUAAUUUUUUACAUGAUCU